CAAUAGCGUAUAUUUAAGUUGCUGCAGUUAAAAAGUUCGUAGUUGGAUUUCGGGUGGGAAUGGCCGGUCCGCCGUUUCGGUGUGCACUUGCUACGCCCACCUUGCUGCCGGGGGCGUGCUCUUGAGUUCACGCUCGGGACACGGAGUCGGCGAGGUUACUUUGAGUAAAUUAGAGUGUUCAAAGCAGGCCUACGCUCUGAAUACAUUAGCAUGGAAUAACACGAUAGGACUCUGGCCUAUCUUGUUGGUCUGUAGGACCGGAGUAAUGAUUAAGAGGGACAGUCGGGGGCAUUCGUAUUUCAUUGUCAGAGGUGAAAUUCUUGGAUUUAUGAAAGACGAACUACUGCGAAAGCAUUUGCCAAGGAUGUUUUCAUUAA
RNAcentral lists this ribosomal RNA (377 nucleotides) under uncultured eukaryote. RNAcentral describes it as "partial 18S ribosomal RNA". It matches the Rfam family "Eukaryotic small subunit ribosomal RNA", at positions 592 to 976 of the family's 1831-position model. The record is from RNAcentral.